CUGAUUCCAGGGAUUUUUGUUAACAUAAUUGGAAUUUAAAAUAUGAUAUUUUAUUUGAUCAAUGUCUGUUCUGACUUUUUUUGUCUUUUGGCCUUGGAGGGGCUAAGAGAAAGGAUUCAUAGACUUUUUUUUUAAUUAAUAGAAAUAAGUAAAAUGCACAGAAGAUGUCAACGUCUAAAUGUGGCAUCCUAUCAACCAUCAAUAAAUGGUACCACUGUCCUCCCCCAGAAGCAUCCCCAAUCUCCACUCAGGUGGGUUCAGCCUCUGCAAAGCUCAGCACUCUGCACCUCCACCCAAAUCUUGAUUAUUCAUAAUGCCCCUAAGCCAGAGUGUUAGACUCAGUCGACUAAUCAUGUGCUAGGUGCUGUGCAAUCUGCUGAGGUUACAAAAUGAAUAGCCAACGAUUCCUUCCUUCAAGGAGCUCACCUGGUGAGGAAACAGAUGCAAAAACAACUGAUUAUAGCAUACAGUGAACCCUGAUAAAAGUGUGGGCCCCUAAAAAGGAGAGGUGCUCAAUGCUUCCUAAGAGAGUAGGGGCAGCUUCACAAAGAAGAUAACACUAAAACUGAAUCUGGAAAAACAAUAGCAAUUAUCCAUAUUAGCAAAGAAAGAAAGAGGAUUCCAGUGAAGAGAAAAGGGUACCCACAGUCAUGGAGGUCAGGAGAAGCAGGAAAGGGUGUACAGGGAAGUAAUUCAGGAAAAUCUACCUCAGAAGGAACACGGGAAUGCACAACAAAUGAUGUAGCCUGAGAGACAAGGCCGGACCUGGUUUGCAACAACUGUUUUUGCCAAAAGAGGUUUGACAUGAUAGAGCCAUCGAAGACAUGGUGAUGAGGUGAUCUUCAGAAGAUGAGAGAUGAGGUAGAUAUCAAGAUGAGAGAGCAACUGAGGACAAGAGCUGAGAACUGAGACACAAACUAAAUGUUCCUCCAGUGUGCGCCUGUGACAGGAAUAAAAUAACAACUUUUUUAAGCUCACAUCAACCUCAGAUAUUGCUUCAGCAUCAAAAAAAAAUAGAGCAACUCUUUCCAAAAGAUGCCGAUGACAGUGUAGAGAGAACUCGGAUGUCACUUCACAUGCCCAGAGUGUGGUUUGAGGAAAGGACAACUAAACAUUUUUCUGUGGCCUUAAUGGAAAUCAUGUCUAAAUUGAUAUAAUAGGUCAAAAGAGAUAACAGAUCACAAGUAGCCCCCUUUGGUUUUGGCUGAAAACUGUAUUACUACAUUGCACCAGUAAAUAUAUUGAGAGACUUGAAAGACAAUCAAUCAACACACGAGUCCGAUAGAUAAUGACAAUGACUAUUAAAUCUUCUCUAGUCUUCGUAACUUUAUAUGUUUGGAACUAAUAUUGAAGAAUCAUAUUUCUACUAACUAAAAAUAAUAAUUCAAGGCUUAAGGAAAAAUUGAAGUAAAGCCUGAAGAAGGCAACCUGGGAAGGAAUAAGAAUUCUUUAAGAUCAGAGGUUCUGCCUUUCAGAUAAAUAACUAACUAGAGAUUUCCUUUGAUAAAUGGCAAGUUAAAGAAAUUGUAGAAUGGUAGAAAAUAUCAUGUUUACCUACAAAAAGAACUAUUGCCUCACCAGGUUUCACAUCUCUAGAAGAUGGUUUUAAAUCUAUUAUGAGCAUUAUGUAAUGUUUAACUGGUUCUGGUUUCAAUUGGCAGGGGAACCUAAGGGUUUAAACAAAGGGUUAAAAAAAUCUAAAUCUAGUGUCUUUGUUACAAUAAGAUUAAACAAGAGGAGCAAUAUAUUUAGGCCACAACAGUAAAGAUUUCAUGCAGUUAGAGAAAGCAUGUCUUAGUUUAUCAGUUUAGAAAUAGGAAAAUGGAACCCUAAAAUUUGCAAGUACCGACCCAAAACUCUGAGAAUAAUGUUAGUUCCAGGAAGCUGAUUGCAUCAUUUCAGUGGACCAGAACAGAAAAUAAUGAGUUACAUUUUAUAACUCUUUUUAAGUUUUCUAAUUUACCACCUGGCUGAUGAAGUAUUAAUGCUAUAGGAAUUGGAAUCCUUGAAGUCUUAUGGCCACGCCCUCAUCAGUUUGACAUAAGAGUCUACUAAACUGGUUUCAACAUUAGAAUAAGGGAAGGAAAAUUCCUACUUUGUAAAAAUCAUAUUAUUCUGAUUUCAUCACCAACCUCACAGUUUUCCAGGCAUAUGUAGAAGAAGUAAUUAUAAUGCCAAAGUAUGAAAUAUAGCCGGUUUCAUAACCAGAAUGAAUUAUGGCUAAUUCUUCUGCAGUAAACAAUUUGUUUUUCAAAUCUGUAUUCCCCAGACAGCUGAGCCAGGCCUUGCUUCUCAAGUGUUUUAUUUAAAUAGGCAGUAUAACAGUGGAGUUUUACCACAGAGUUUCUGAGUGCAGAGAGCCUUUCCCUAGGAGUGGGGUGCAGGGAACUGGAGGGCAAUGGUUCUUAUGAGAAGGUGAUGAUGCUUCUAAGAAAAAAGAUUACACGUAAGUUAAUACUUAACAAUUUUUUUAAAUUCUGAAAUUCAAAUGUUCUGCAUUUUGAAAUAGAAUGAAUAUUCUCUAACUUUUUAGUCUAAAAAAUUUCCAAGCUGGAGCUACCACUCAUCCUUGGAACUGCCAAUUCCUAAGCAUUUUCAUUCUGGCACUGAAUGUUGCAUUGACUAGCCAUUCCUAUGUGCAGUUUCUAAUUCUCCUGCCCUGACUCACACAACCCUAUUGUAACUUAAUCUGGCUUUAUAACCUGCCACAUUGCCAAGUGUUUUUUUGUUUUGUUUUGUUUUGUUUUGUUUUUUGCUUUGUUUUCUUUGAGUUUUUGCAUGCGUGAGUUUUGGUUUGUUUGCCUGCAAACAGGUAAACAACUUCUUUGCACAACCAUAAAGACUUCCUUGUCUCCUGCUUUUCUCUUACAAACUCUUACAAGACAAGAUAAAUAGAGGCUCAGAGUGAAUGCUUGGGGAGGGUAUUAGGGAAGACAUUCUUGCACAAGAAUUACUUGGAUCAUAUCACUAGGUUAAGUAGAAAAAUGAAAAUGGGUCCUGAAUAAGCAUAUAAUAUGAUCCAAAUUGUUACUUACAUGCUUUGAAUGCCUUAACAAUAAUGUACAGGACAUUUGUUUGGCAGUGUGCUUUUAUUUAUUUCCUUACUUAUUGCUGUUUCUUUUGCAGAAUGCCCUGGCUAAAGCUACUGUGAAAGAACUUGCCUCACUGCACGGCACCAAGUACACAUAUGGCCCGGGAGCUACAACAAUCUAUCCUGCUGCUGGGGGCUCUGACGACUGGGCUUAUGACCAAGGAAUCAGAUAUUCCUUCACCUUUGAACUCCGAGAUACAGGCAGAUAUGGCUUCCUCCUUCCGGAAUCCCAGAUCCGGGCUACCUGCGAGGAGACCUUGCUGGCAAUCAAGUAUGUUGCCAGCUACGUCCUGAAACACCUGUACUAGUUGAGAAAGCUGAUGGCCUUGUUUCAAAAUUCCCAUUUUUCGUUUCUUUUCUUUCUUGAAUUCUUAUUUUGGUUUGCCUGGAUGUUUUACAGAUCCCAAUCUUUCUUUUAAGUUUCUGGGUCUAUUAAACUAGGUAGAUCUUUUCAUAUUGAUCAUAAUAAAAGUGAAUCAUUACCAUUGGAAAG
This 3584-nucleotide small RNA is filed under the name Pongo abelii (Sumatran orangutan). RNAcentral's name for it is "retained intron". Lineage: Eukaryota; Metazoa; Chordata; Mammalia; Primates; Hominidae. The record is from RNAcentral.